Molecule: ribosomal RNA, 366 nt
Filed under: uncultured bacterium
Lineage: Bacteria
Description: partial 16S ribosomal RNA
Rfam family: Bacterial small subunit ribosomal RNA
Source: RNAcentral
CCUACGGGAGGCAGCAGUGGGGAAUAUUGCACAAUGGGGGAAACCCUGAUGCAGCGACGCCGCGUGAGCGAUGAAGUAUUUCGGUAUGUAAAGCUCUAUCAGCAGGGAAGAAAAUGACGGUACCUGACUAAGAAGCCCCGGCUAACUACGUGCCAGCAGCCGCGGUAAUACGUAGGGGGCAAGCGUUAUCCGGAUUUACUGGGUGUAAAGGGAGCGUAGACGGCGAUGCAAGCCAGAUGUGAAAGCCCGGGGCUCAACCCCGGGACUGCAUUUGGAACUGUUUAGCUGGAGUGUCGGAGAGGGAGGUGGAAGUGUUGGGGUAGGGGGGAAAUGCGUAGAGAUUAAGAGGAAUACGCGUGGCGAAGG